GCAGUCGAGCGAGAAGACGUAGCAAUACGUUUGUAAAGCGGCGAACGGGUGAGGAAUACAUGGGUAACCUACCCUCGAGUGGGGAAUAACUAGCCGAAAGGUUAGCUAAUACCGCAUACGACUCCUGGUCUGCGGAUCGGGAGAGAAAGCGAUACCGUGGGUAUCGCGCUCUUGGAUGGGCUCAUGUCCUAUCAGCUUGUUGGUGAGGUAACGGCUCACCAAGGCUUCGACGGGUAGCUGGUCUGAGAGGACGAUCAGCCACACUGGCACUGCGACACGGGCCAGACUCCUACGGGAGGCAGCAGUAAGGAAUAUUGCGCAAUGGGCGACAGCCUGACGCAGCGACGCCGCGUGGGGGAUGAAGGUCUUCGGAUUGUAAACCCCUUUCGGCAGGGAAGAUGGAACGGGUAACCGUUCGGACGGUACCUGCAGAAGCAGCCACGGCUAACUUCGUGCCAGCAGCCGCGGUAAUACGAAGGUGGCAAGCGUUGUUCGGAUUUACUGGGCGUACAGGGAGCGUAGGCGGUUGGGUAAGCCCUCCGUGAAAUCUCCGGGCCUAACCCGGACAGUGCGGAGGGGACUGCUCGGCUAGAGGAUGGGAGAGGAGCGCGGAAUUCCCGGUGUAGCGGUGAAAUGCGUAGAGAUCGGGAGGAAGGCCGGUGGCGAAGGCGGCGCUCUGGAACAUUUCUGACGCUGAGGCUCGAAAGCGUGGGGAGCAAACAGGAUUAGAUACCCUGGGUAGUCCACGCCUUAAACGAUGGGAUACUAAGUG
This 772-nucleotide ribosomal RNA is filed under the name uncultured Nitrospira sp. RNAcentral describes it as "bacterial SSU rRNA". It matches the Rfam family "Bacterial small subunit ribosomal RNA", at positions 57 to 822 of the family's 1533-position model. Lineage: Bacteria; Pseudomonadati; Nitrospirota; Nitrospiria; Nitrospirales; Nitrospiraceae. The record is from RNAcentral.